Molecule: transfer RNA, 72 nt
Filed under: Camelus bactrianus (Bactrian camel)
Lineage: Eukaryota; Metazoa; Chordata; Mammalia; Artiodactyla; Camelidae
Also listed under: 1 other name
Rfam family: tRNA
About the family: Transfer RNA (tRNA) molecules are approximately 80 nucleotides in length. Their secondary structure includes four short double-helical elements and three loops (D, anti-codon, and T loops). Further hydrogen bonds mediate the characteristic L-shaped molecular structure. tRNAs have two regions of fundamental functional importance: the anti-codon, which is responsible for specific mRNA codon recognition, and the 3' end, to which the tRNAs corresponding amino acid is attached (by aminoacyl-tRNA synthetases). tRNAs cope with the degeneracy of the genetic code in two manners: having more than one tRNA (with a specific anti-codon) for a particular amino acid; and 'wobble' base-pairing, i.e. permitting non-standard base-pairing at the 3rd anti-codon position.
Source: Rfam by way of RNAcentral
CAGGGUACAGCUCAAUGGUAGAGCACAUGAUUGGCAUGCAUGAGGUCCUGGGUUCAAUCCCCAGUACCUUCC